Molecule: ribosomal RNA, 460 nt
Filed under: uncultured bacterium
Lineage: Bacteria
Description: partial 16S ribosomal RNA
Rfam family: Bacterial small subunit ribosomal RNA
Source: RNAcentral
CCUACGGGUGGCAGCAGUCGAGAAUCAUUCACAAUGGGGGAAACCCUGAUGGUGCGACGCCGCGUGAGGGAAGACGGCCCUACGGGUUGUAAACCUCUUUUGCCGGGGAGCAACGGGCGCCACGUGUGGCGCCACUGAGAGUACCCGGAGAAAAAGCAUCGGCUAACUCCGUGCCAGCAGCCGCGGUAAUACGGAGGAUGCGAGCGUUAUCCGGAUUUCUUGGGUUUAAAGGGUGCGUAGGCGGAGCGUUAAGUCAGUGGUCAAAUUGAGGGGCUCAACCCCUUCCCGCCAUUGAAACUGGCGCUCUUGAGUGGAAGAGAAGUAUGCGGAAUGCGUGGUGUAGCGGUGAAAUGCAUAGAUAUCACGCAGAACCCCGAUUGCGAAGGCAGCAUGCCGGCUUCCUACUGACGCUGAAGCACGAAAGCGUGGGGAUCGAACAGGAUUAGAUACCCGAGUAGUC